Non-coding RNA from Aegilops tauschii subsp. strangulata, 997 nucleotides. The record is from RefSeq and is a predicted model, not a curated record. NCBI's taxonomy places the organism in Eukaryota, Viridiplantae, Streptophyta, Magnoliopsida, Poales, Poaceae.
UAAGAAAUGGCAACAAGGCUCAACAGAGCAGAGAGACAAGAAUACCUAUAUAGAGACAUGAGAAAGAAUAAGCCAAGGACAAAACGAGAAUUCCGCAUCCGGUGAAAGCUGAAGUCACAUAGGGAAGGGAGUUUCUGCAGAUGGAGAAAAGGGAGAUAUCACACUGUGUGUGAUAGGUUAUUAGCUGGAGGAUUGAGAUUGGUAUAUGGCAUUCAGAUAGUCCUUCUGAACUGAAAUCAUGGAAAGACUAGGCUCACCAGGCAGGGAAAGCUAGAUAUAGCCUAAAAAACCUCCACUUACGGAUUCACAUACUGGUUGGUAUGUUCAUCAAGUUCUCGAUUACUACUUACGGUGCCCACUGACUCCCUUUAAUGGUACGCCAAGAUAUCGCUCAUAACGACUGCAAAGGCAUAUUUAUUAGCCAGCUGUGGGAUACUGCCCUAAAGCUGCUGUUCCGGUGAUUAGAUCAAAAUAGAGUUCUUUCUACAAGAGCAUCUCAAGUUGGUCAGGCGUCCCCAGGAGUGUUUCGAUAUCAGCAAGCACAUUCUAACUAUCUAUAAAUGGCAUUUCGAGGUGAGAGAGAGUUCCAGCAUAUUACACAAAAGAUUGGGUAGACACAUGCGUUGAGGCAUUCCCUACAACAGGUGGAUAAAGCCGUUUCUAGGCCAUAGAAAAACAUAGCAUGUGACAUUUAUUUACAUAGGACCAAGCAUAAUCGUUUUAGAUAAGAAUCAAUCAGCAGGUGAAAGGCAAGCACUUCCUUCCCUGAAUCCUACUCUUGCCCUAAAAAAGUACUAACUAAAGCCAAAUCGAAUGAAAUAUGCCUCUCUACGCGAAUAAGCAGAAGUGAGCCCAAUAGAACAGAUCAGGAAAGAGUUUACUAAGCUAUCGCGCGCAGUAAAGAGAAUACCAUAUCUAGUUCCUGGCUAGCUCCCAUCUUCGAUGCAUGGAUCUGACUAACCGGAGAUCGGACUCGUGUGCUUGAAUCAAAAGAAAA